RNAcentral lists this ribosomal RNA (513 nucleotides) under uncultured bacterium. RNAcentral describes it as "partial 16S ribosomal RNA". It matches the Rfam family "Bacterial small subunit ribosomal RNA", at positions 28 to 523 of the family's 1533-position model. The record is from RNAcentral.
GACGAACGCUGGCGGCGUGCCUAAUACAUGCAAGUCGAGCGGACAGAUGGGAGCUUGCUCCCUGAUGUUAGCGGCGGACGGGUGAGUAACACGUGGGUAACCUGCCUGUAAGACUGGGAUAACUCCGGGAAACCGGGGCUAAUACCGGAUGGUUGUUUGAACCGCAUGGUUCAAACAUAAAAGGUGGCUUCGGCUACCACUUACAGAUGGACCCGCGGCGCAUUAGCUAGUUGGUGAGGUAAUGGCUCACCAAGGCAACGAUGCGUAGCCGACCUGAGAGGGUGAUCGGCCACACUGGGACUGAGACACGGCCCAGACUCCUACGGGAGGCAGCAGUAGGGAAUCUUCCGCAAUGGACGAAAGUCUGACGGAGCAACGCCGCGUGAGUGAUGAAGGUUUUCGGAUCGUAAAGCUCUGUUGUUAGGGAAGAACAAGUACCGUUCGAAUAGGGCGGUACCUUGACGGUACCUAACCAGAAAGCCACGGCUAACUACGUGCCAGCCGCCGCCGUAA